AUUGAACGCUGGCGGCAGGCCUAACACAUGCAAGUCGAGCGGAAACGAGAAUAGCUUGCUAUUCGGCGUCGAGCGGCGGAUGGGUGAGUAAUGCCUGGGAAAUUGCCCUGAUGUGGGGGAUAACCAUUGGAAACGAUGGCUAAUACCGCAUAAUAGCUUCGGCUUAAAGAGGGGGACCUUCGGGCCUCUCGCUUCAGGAUAUGCCCAGGUGGGAUUAGCUAGUUGGUGAGGUAAAGGCUCACCAAGGCGACGAUCCCUAGCUGGUCUGAGAGGAUGAUCAGCCACACUGGAACUGAGACACGGUCCAGACUCCUACGGGAGGCAGCAGUGGGGAAUAUUGCACAAUGGGCGCAAGCCUGAUGCAGCCAUGCCGCGUGUAUGAAGAAGGCCUUCGUGUUGUAAAGUACUUUCAGCAGUGAGGAAGGGUGUGUAGUUAAUAGCUGCAUACUUUGACGUUAGCUGCAGAAGAAGCACCGGCUAACUCCGUGCCAGCAGCCGCGGUAAUACGGAGGGUGCGAGCGUUAAUCGGAAUUACUGGGCGUAAAGCGCAUGCAGGUGGUUUGUUAAGUCAGAUGUGAAAGCCCGGGGCUCAACCUCGGAACCGCAUUUGAAACUGGCAGACUAGAGUACUGUAGAGGGGGGUAGAAUUUCA
This 652-nucleotide ribosomal RNA is filed under the name uncultured Vibrionaceae bacterium. Its description in RNAcentral is "bacterial SSU rRNA". It matches the Rfam family "Bacterial small subunit ribosomal RNA", at positions 28 to 671 of the family's 1533-position model. Lineage: Bacteria; Pseudomonadati; Pseudomonadota; Gammaproteobacteria; Vibrionales; Vibrionaceae. The record is from RNAcentral.